This 2638-nucleotide long non-coding RNA is filed under the name Mus musculus (house mouse). RNAcentral's name for it is "predicted gene, 68672". The record is from RNAcentral. Lineage: Eukaryota; Metazoa; Chordata; Mammalia; Rodentia; Muridae.
GAGGAACCUGGAGGCAGGAGCUAAGGCAGAGGCCAUGGAGGAGUGCUACUUACUGGCUUGCUCAGCCUGCUUUAUAGCACCCAGCCAUAGGACCACCAGCUCAGGGGUGACUGGGCCCUUUCACAUCAAUCACUAAGAAAAUUUCCUCCAGGCUUGCCCUCAGCUGGAUCUCAUGGAGGCAUUUUCAGUUGAGGCUUCCUCCUCUAGCUUGUGUCAAGAUGAGUUAAAACUAGUCAAUUCAGUGUCAAUUGUCAAAAUAAGGUGGUGGUUGUUGUUGUUGUUGUUGUUAGUUGAUUGGUAUCAUUUAAAAACAAACACAACCCUGAAUUAAAAGAAAAAAAGAAAACCCAAAGGAUCGUUGACUCCCCAUUGACUGUGAACUGAAGAUGAAUCAUCAUGUCCUCUGGCCCAGCCUUUUCUACUAUAAAAAUAGGUUCCAAAAGAGCAAAAGAGUAAGUCUUGAAUAACUAUUUUUUUCAUGAAACAAAUAUUUAGUAAUUCAAUAGCUAAGGAAACCCGAAUUUCAACAUCUUCAAUAGCUUGGCUUAAUGCUCAAUGAUAAGUAGAACCUGAGUUUUUAACUCUCACUCAAAAGCAUCGCUUUCUUGGCAUCCUAGUUGCUGAAUGAGGCCUUGGGGCUUCUCAUGCUACACACGCUGUGUGCUUUCACCCCCCUCACUGCCUUAACUCCUUCCAGUUGUCUUGUAGGACCUGUAUCCUUUACUUACUGGACGAGGUUGUUACCACUUUUGUAGAAGUAUUUCUUAGAACGCCUCUGUCAUAUUUAAAUAUAUAAGGGGCUGUAAACUUUAAAUAAUAAAUAAGCCAACUAGAAUCUUAACAGGAAAAUGCUGAUGGUUAUUGGUGGUUACUAUGUCAACAGCCAUGAGGGUCUAUGAGGCUGUACUGUUUGUUGCCAUCUAUUCUGGGUUCUGUUUUUUUUUUUUUUUUUUAGGGAAAGCAAGUGAUUGGAGUUUUCCUGGACCCUUUUCAGAUUUUCACGGGGACAGAUAAGAUAGUAGCUUCUAAGCUCUGGUUUGUGUCCCACAGUUACUGAGUGGUGUUUUCAUUCACUACUACUAGUCGGAUUGGGAGAUGGGAGAUGGUUCCUCUGAGCUUUAAGUUUGAGAGUUAUUUAGCUUUCUUACUUGAACAAUUUCUGUUACUAACCAUCAUUUUUCAAAAAUUGGAGUGACAGAUUUUAGGACCACAUAACACUUGAUUUGGCUUGUUUCAUGGAAAAUUAAACAUGGAGAUGAGUUCUGUGGAAAAUCCUGAAAAGCAGAACUAAGGAACUACAGAGAGUGCGCUGUAGAGUGAGGUGUAAUGGCAGCCAUGGAGAACAGUGAAAGGAGCCCCCAAGGACGAGAAGCUAGGAAAGUGGAAAGGAGGAACAGUGGAGCAAAGAGGGAGGGAGGAGACGUAGCUCAGCCGUCCUGCUUGCCUGUCCUGCUUGCCUAGCAUGCGGAGGCUCCGUCACUGUCAGCCGAGUGACUAGGUAGUGGUGAAGACCAGCUGAUAAAGUGUUAUAAUGAGGAGGUCCAGAAUUGUGACCUUGGCUAAAAAGAGUUUUUAGUACCUUGAUGUAGGUACUUUGUUUUGCUAAUUUUAAGACAUCUGCAUUUAAUGGUAAAUACACCUCAGAAUACAUCUUGAUUAUAUUGUAGUUCAACACUGUUUUCAACCCUUUGUGGAUCUGUAUGUAAAAGUGCACAUCACAGUCCAAUACAAGUCAGAACCGUGAGCUCUAGGCCCUGAACCUCUGUACCAUUGCAUAUAAUUAAGAGCGAGAAAGAAUUGAGAAUGGCUUACUCAGGUUUAGCAAAUUGAUAAAGUAACAUCGAAAGACUCAUGAUGUCAUGACUCAGCCUUUCAGAAGCUGUAGAGGGCACCACCGGUGGUGCCCUAGCAUGGUAAUGUACAACUGCUGCCAGCCGGCUGGUCCUGUGUCUUGAAGGCCACCGGGAGCUGGCGGCAGAGCCAACAUGAAUGUUGGAGUUGCCCACAGUGAGGUAAACCCCAGUGCCCUGUAAUGACCAGCCAUGGUUGUUGCCGACGUGUGCUUUGGGAGUUGGCGUGCGUGCGUUCCUGUCACUCAGCGUUCCUGUCACUCAGCGUUCCUGUCUUCAGUGCUCCUGCUGCUUGGACCGUAACAAAGAGUACAUAAUCUGGGGAUAUAUGUAUUUUGCAUGCAGUGAAAGGAACAACUUUUGAAACCCAAUCCAGAUAGAGCAGGGCUCUUAACCCACUGGGAACAGCUUGACUAUGGAGGACAGUUUAUAUCUUCUCAAGAGUUUUUCACAAAUUCUCCAGUAAUUUCUUAGAUGUGACAUGCUGUUACCACAGAGUUUUGGAUAAAGAAACAGACUCAAGCCAGCGAGGGUGGCAUAUCCCUAACCUUAGUAUUAUGGAGGCAGAUGAGUUUGAGGAUAGCCUAGUCUAUACAUCAGGUUCUAGACCAGCUAGAGCUACUUAGAUCCCAUCUCAAAUGAGAGAAAAAAGAAACAGACUCAAAUCUGCUACUUUGGUAAUGAUCUUCUGUCUAUUUUGGAUCAAGCCUGGAUUAAAUGGAAAUUUCUGCCUUCUAUUGCAGGUCUCUUUCAGAUAUACACCUUAGCAAAUGACCUGUCUUACACUG